CACGCCGUAAACGAUGAAUGCUAGGUGUUGGGGGUCAAACCUCGGUGCCGAAGUUAACACAUUAAGCAUUCCGCCUGGGGAGUACGGUGGCAACACUGAAACUCAAAGGAAUUGACGGGGACCCGCACAAGCAGCGGAGCAUGUGGUUUAAUUCGAUGCAACGCGAAGAACCUUACCAGGGCUUGACAUGUGGGUGAAAGCUGUAGAGAUACAGCCCUCUCUUCGGAGACAUCCAUACAGGUGG
Molecule: ribosomal RNA, 244 nt
Filed under: uncultured Finegoldia sp.
Lineage: Bacteria; Bacillati; Bacillota; Tissierellia; Tissierellales; Peptoniphilaceae
Description: partial 16S ribosomal RNA
Rfam family: Bacterial small subunit ribosomal RNA
Source: RNAcentral